RNAcentral lists this ribosomal RNA (277 nucleotides) under uncultured bacterium. RNAcentral describes it as "partial 16S ribosomal RNA". It matches the Rfam family "Bacterial small subunit ribosomal RNA", at positions 524 to 798 of the family's 1533-position model. The record is from RNAcentral.
UACGUAGGGUGCAAGCGUUAAUCGGAAUUACUGGGCGUAAAGCGUGCGCAGGCGGUUUUGUAAGUCUGUCGUGAAAAUCCCCGGGCUCAACCUGGGAAUUGCGAUGGAGACUGCAAGGCUAGAAUCUGGCAGAGGGGGUAGAAUUCCACGUGUGAGCAGUGAAAUGCGUAGAGAUGUGGAGGAACACCGAUGGCGAAGGCAGCCCCCUGGGUCAAGAUUGACGCUCAUGCACGAAGGCGUGGGAGCAAACGAAGAUUAGAGUACCCAGAUGUGCCAU